Molecule: ribosomal RNA, 620 nt
Filed under: uncultured bacterium
Lineage: Bacteria
Description: bacterial SSU rRNA
Rfam family: Bacterial small subunit ribosomal RNA
Source: RNAcentral
CCUACGGGAGGCAGCAGUAAGGAGUAUUGGACAAUGCCCGCAAGGGUGAUCCAGCCAUGCCGCGUGCAGGAAGAAGGCCCUAUGGGUCGUAAACUGCUUUUACACCGGAGAAAACCUCCCUUCGUGAAGGGAGCUGAUAGUAUGGUGAGAAUAAGCAUCGGCUAACUUCGUGCCAGCAGCCGCGGUAAGACGAAGGAUGCAAGCGUUAUCCGGAUUCAUUGGGUUUAAAGGGAGCGUAGGUGGACUGAUAAGUCAGUGGUGAAAUCUUCGAGCUUAACUCGGAAAUUGCCAUUGAUACUGUUAGUCUUGAGUACAGUUGCUGUGGGCGGAAUAUGACAUGUAGUGGUGAAAUACAUAGAGAUGUCAUAGAACACCGAUUGCGAAGGCAGCUCACAAAGCUGUAACUGACACUGAGGCUCGAAAGUGCGGGGAUCAAACAGGAUUAGAUACCCUGUAGUCCGCACUGUAAACGAUGAUUACUCGCUGCUAGAGGGCAACUUUUAGUGGCUUAGCGAAAGCGAAUAAGUAAUUCCACCGUGGGGAGUUAGCCGGCACGGUUGAAACGUUAAAGGGAAUUAGACGGCGUUAGAGAGCGACGAGGCACGACGGAGGGUUAGAGG